CAGAGGCCCACUCCUACUAGGAGACAGGCAUUUUAAUUGGCACCUCCUUACAAAGGCUCCAGUGUUCUAGAGCUUUGCAUACAGGAAGAUUCUCGUUGAACAAUGAAGCCAAACCUCGCUUCCAAAAUUCCCAGUUUGGUAGUUCACUGUGGAUGAAGAGGCCGGAGACACCCUUAGACAAGCUGGGACCGUGAUGAUAGGAACCAGUUUGUGAAGGGAGGAGGCUGGGCUAACAGGAUCUAGGGAGAUAGAUGAUAUCUGGACCUUAGGUAGUUCGUGUUACUCAAAGUCAGCAAGGUUUUUGUUGUUUUUUGAGACAGUCUUGUUAUGUUGCCCAGCCUGGAGUGCAGCAGUGCGAUCUCAGCUCGCUGCAACCUCCACCCCGUGGGUUCAAGCAAUUCUUGUGCCUCAGCCUCCUGAGUAGCUGGGACUACAGGUGCGGGCCGCCACACUUGGCUAAUUUUUUGUACUUUUAGUAGAGAUGGAGUUUCACCAUGUUGGCCAGGCUGGUCUUGAAGUCCUGUCCUCAAGUGAUCUGCCUGCCGCAGCUUACCACAAGUGCUGGGAUUACAGGUGUGAGCCACUGCACCUGGCCAAGAUCAUUUGAUGUUCUUGGGUGAAUGGCCACUUUCACCUGGAUCCCACCAAUUUUUGGUGCCCUAGGGAGCAUGAUCCAGAGUUCCCUCAAGACAGAGGAUGUGCUAAAGGCAAACUCCAGAGGUCAUCCUAUCCCCAUGCCUUCCGCCUUUCUAAAGAGAAGCUCUUCUGCCCUGCUGUUACCACUCAGUACUCUAGAUUAAACCUGUUCCCCACGUUCAUUCUGUACCCAUGACUAUAUUUCUGCUUCCUGGAAAGUUGUAGCCAUAGGAAUGAAAAACUCACCAAUCAGUUGUGGUCUUCCUGAGGCAAGUCAGUCACCUUCCUACUCUGGUAUCUUCCAUGGCUACCAGCUGGCCACAGAACCAAGCACUGACUCACCAGCCUCCAGUCUGGUUCCUUUUCAGCCUUUUUGCCACCCCUACAGCCCAUACUACAUCAUCCAUUCUGGCCAUCUCAGAUUCUUCCUUGCUAGCUCCCACCUUUCCCUGCAUCCAGUCCUCUGUACUAUUUCAUCUAUUUGAACACUCUUUUCUCCCUGCAUCCUGGGUCUCCAUUCAAAUCUUCCUCUUCCCUGGAAGUACAGCUUCAGUGGUUAACAUCACAAAGCAAAGCUGACUUCAGCAAACUUUCCAAGACAACCAGGGACCAACACAGUUCAGAUUAAAGGGGAUAAAUAAAGUGGCUUUAAGAUCACUUGUAGUUCAGAGGUCACCCAGGGGAUUAGGAUCUAUGCAGAGACCUGCAGAGCCACGCUGCUUCCCCAAGGGACCCCCUUCAUGCUGCUGGAACUUGCCCUACCCCUCAGGAGAAACUGGGCUGCUGUAGCUGCGUCACGCAGGCGGCUGUGGGCCAGCCCGGAGCAAAACUGUGUUGCUUGGCAUUUCUCCACUUCCUCUCGUGGCCGACGUCAUUCUGUGACUGUGCAGGGAUUCAUGCUCGCCAUUGCACUCCACAGUGAGAUACUUGAAUUGAUUUAAAAUUUAUUCACCCCAGUGUUCACUCCCACCUUAGCCCCAUUCCAUGCGCCCUUACCCUUACUCAUCGCAGUAUCAAAAUAACUCCCAAAUGGGAUUGCUGUGCUUGAACACCUCCCAUCAUGCCUCUUACCUUCUGCAUGCAUUUAGUUAGUUCCUGAAGCAUACAGCCCCCUCACCUGCAAGCCCCGCCUCAGCGCACACCCUUGCCAGGUUGGAGGAAGUCCUGGUACCCGGAGCAGUUUGCUUUGUUUUUGCAGUGUCAGUGAUCUCACAAGCACUUGGUUGGCCACACAGUCCUAUCGAUAACUUCCAGCAGAUAACCCAAGUGGGUGACUGGGGGGUGGAAGCCAGGUCUCGGUUCCUGUGUGUGACCCAAGGCCCCCCAGCACAGGGCCCACCCUCUCAUCUGGCUCAGCCAGGUCUUGCAGAAUGGGCUCUGCUGAGAUCUAACCAGACACAUUUGCUAUCUGUUAGGUGAGCUCAUUCCUGGAACCUAGCAGGUAUUCCGUUCAUGGCUGACUCUCAAGGGAAUGAAGGGAAAAGGAAGAGCGGGUCUGAGAUCCUUUGGAUUAUCUUUACGAAGCAAAAGCUUCUGUGAACUGUGAUCUUCAGAACGAAUGCUGGGCCUAUCCAGGUCUGUCCGCAGUACCCAAAGUCGUAGCUCCGUGAUGAGCUAUGAUGUAGCCCAGCCACACUCAGUGACGGCUCCUGGUUCCUCACUUGCCAGGGCAGCUUCAGUUCCUGCCGCGGUGUCAGUGCAGAUUGAUUCCCGCUGCGUUACUGAACGAACUCCUGACCCUGGGCUCUGAGCUGAUGAGCUGGCUCCAGAAGGUGUUAAUCAUCAUCACUCAGGUGUGCUGUCCUCACAGAGUCCUGGUGCACCUGGGAUCCCAGUAGCUCCACAUUUUCUUUGCUGCCUUCGAGGUUCACAUCUUCAGGGUCCCACUAUGGAGAAAAGAUGCAAAGGGUAGCUGGGUGGAACGGAUAGAUGCUUCUCAUCUGUCAUAACCCCUGACCCAAACAAAAGCUCCAAUCUUGGUUCUCAUGAUCCAGGCACAGACAAGGACAAAAGGGUAAGGACAAGUUACCCAGGCCUGUGUUUCUGGGACCUAAGGAGGCAAGCAUAACUUUACAUCAAGCAACUAAUGAACAACCACCCUAAACAUAACAGCUUCACUUUCCUUCCCGCCCUCAUUCUCCACUCUUCUCUGCCUCUACCAAGUCCUUAUCUAGUGACACUGAGUCAUGUUCUCCUUAUCCUGACUCCAUGCCUAACUCAUUCCUGGAAAAAACCAGGCAAACUUAAUCCUUUUUUAUUUUUUUAAGACAGGGUCUUGCGGUGUCACCCAGGCUAGAGUACAGUGGUGCAAUCAUAGCUCACUGCUGCCUCAAACUCCUAGACUCAAGCAAUCCUCCUGCUUCAGCCUCCCGAGUAGCUGGGACUACAGGUAGAUGAUGGGCUCCACGGGAACAGAGCAAACGUUCGCUCCUGCUCCUACACGGUGUUUCCUCUAAACCUGAGGCUCAGCCGACUUGUCAUCACUUAAAACCCAAUUCAGAGCGGGGGGGCACUGCCAGUGAAUAGUUCAUCACCGACUCAGUUUCCCCAUGUGUAUGCUGUGGUAUUGGAUCAGCAACGAGAUAAGAAGAUCUCUCCCAUUUCCAAGCGUCUAUGAUGAUUCUGAGGCACAAGGUCACAUUUGACAGUACUAGGAAACCCAGGAAACAAGAAGCAAAGAUGACAAAGGCUGUGUCUGCCUGGGCAGACGAUCUAUUUGGACAAGAUAAUAGACCCAGGCAUGGACAUGCUCUCCAAGAAAGAUGCCCUGACAGCUGCUCACACUGAAGCUGAAUCGAACAUUCCAAUCCUUAGAGGUUCCAGCGAAGAUCUUGAAGUCUCCCUGAGCCAUUGACACAAUGGCCAUGCCAUCCCAGUGAUAAAACACAAAUUGUGGCCUUGUUUUGGACAGAAAUAAAGAGCCCAGUUUGUUAGUGAUUUACUGAUAAUAACUGAAUCGAGUACUAAUACUUGGCGAUUUUAAAAGCCAUCAUGUUAAAAAGACCACCUGAUUCCCAGUGACCCUGCAGUGACUGGGUUUGGGCAGCUCGUCCCCUGCACCUGUUUGGGGCUGUGCCAGCCACUUCCAGUGAGAACAUCGCAUUAACUUGCGGUCGCAGACCUGGCUGGACCCCUUGAACCAAAUUCCUUUCUGACCUUAUCAGACCCCAAAUAAAAGAGCUCACCAG
Molecule: long non-coding RNA, 3824 nt
Filed under: Homo sapiens (human)
Lineage: Eukaryota; Metazoa; Chordata; Mammalia; Primates; Hominidae
Description: PREDICTED lncRNA (TCONS_00189923)
Source: RNAcentral